UACGUAGGGUGCGAGCGUUGUCCGGAAUUAUUGGGCGUAAAGAGCUCGUAGGCGGUUUGUCGCGUCGUUUGUGAAAACUUACAACUCAAUUGUGGGCGUGCGGGCGAUACGGGCAGACUGGAGUACUGCAGGGGAGACUGGAAUUCCUGGUGUAGCGGUGGAAUGCGCAGAUAUCAGGAGGAACACCGGUGGCGAAGGCGGGUCUCUGGGCAGUAACUGACGCUGAGGAGCGAAAGCGUGGGGAGCGAACAGG
This 253-nucleotide ribosomal RNA is filed under the name uncultured bacterium. Its description in RNAcentral is "partial 16S ribosomal RNA". It matches the Rfam family "Bacterial small subunit ribosomal RNA", at positions 524 to 776 of the family's 1533-position model. The record is from RNAcentral.